AUACCGGACGAUGGAACAGGUGCCCUGUUUAGGGGUAAAAGGGAAUCAGGUUAAAGGCCUGAGCGGUCCCGCCACUGUAACCGUGAGUCUGCGGCAAUUGCCACCCUUUUGGGGGAAGGCGCCGCCAGGCGAUGAUCGGAAGCCAGGAAACCUGCCUGUGCCAGCCGUAUCGU
Molecule: non-coding RNA, 173 nt
Filed under: Dethiobacter alkaliphilus
Lineage: Bacteria; Bacillati; Bacillota; Dethiobacteria; Dethiobacterales; Dethiobacteraceae
Also listed under: 1 other name
Source: RNAcentral